Long non-coding RNA from Cyprinus carpio carpio, 2251 nucleotides. Lineage: Eukaryota; Metazoa; Chordata; Actinopteri; Cypriniformes; Cyprinidae. The record is from Ensembl.
AUGAAAUUAACAAAGACGAAACUGAACUUGCUCUUCACAUUGAUUCUGGCAUUUUACCUCACAUCAGUAGAAGCUGAAGCUUCUCAUGAUGAUGAUGAUGACGAGGUGAGGAUCCUGAUGGUGGGAAUCCGAGGUCAGUCCAGAUUCAGUGCUGCAGAUCUUCUGUCAGGAAGGAAAGACGGUGGACAGGAGGACAGAGAGAUUGUAAAGACUCCAGUAAUUACAGACGAGGCUCGUAGAAUGAUGCUGAUCACUGGACCGAACCUCUGUGAGGAGGACACAGAGAGACAGACCUUCACAACAGCGCUGUUUCUCUCGUCUCCUGGACCUCACGCCGUUCUAAUGCUCCUGAAUCUGGAAGAUCAACAAUCACAACAGUGUGAUAUUGUGAAACGAGCUCAGGAGCUGCUGGGAGCAGAAGUCCUGCAGUACUGCAUUGUUCUUCUGCUGCAAAAUCACCAGGAACCUUUCACAGGAGCCUCCAGAGAAAUGAUCGAUGCAUGUGGAGGAAGAUUUCUCAUCAUAAGAGACUCUGAACCUAAACCUGCUCAAAGAGCAGCUCUCGUAGCAGAAAUACACAAGUUAGUUUGGCUCAACGAUCACAGAUUUUACUCAGUAGUGACUCAAGGGUUGGAUGCAGAAGAGUCCAGUCAAAGUGUGCAUGAAGAAAAUAAGAUGCUCUCUGAAAAACAUGACAAUUCAGCAGGAACUGCACGAUGGAUUUUACUAAUUUUACUGAACACUGCUUUUAUUUUCACUAAAGUAAGACAUGAACAUUUUCAUUUUGCGGAAAUACUCUUCGUGCUUGUUAUUUUUACCGUCACUUUAAGAGAGACUCUCAAUCCAGAUGUUUCUGUUCCUUUAAAUUUGAUUGUAUCCUCAACUUUCACAGUAGCCUCUGCAUAUAAAGACUUCGCAAAUUCACGACAUGGACACCAAAUCAUAAUGUUUUUAGUCAUGAUCUUUACAUUUCCCAGUAUAGUGUUCAUAGCCGGUCUAGGACUGACUGUAGGAACAGCGGUCAGUGUACGGACGUGGUCAGAUGUGAUCAUAGCGUGCCACGCUGCUCCCGGAGUCACAUUCGGGGCUCAUUUAUACACGGUUUACUCCAUUAUACCUGAUCAAAUGCAAGCUCGUACAACUCUCAUUUUUGCACUCAAGUUAUUCCUGUUCUGUUUCGUUGGAGUGACGAUCUCGAUGGGGUUUGUGACUGUAUUUGCUCUGUUUGGAGUGAAGAUGACAAUAUUUCUGCUAAUAUUAGGAUUUACAAAAAUGUAUUUCCAUUUAAGGAGUCUUUCUCUGAAACUGUUUAUUUUUUUCCUGCUUUUUCCAUGCUGUUGUGUAUUUAUUGGUUCUUUAAUUUCAUUUUUAUACAGUUUAUUAUUUCAUUAUAUUUUAACAGUAAUUUGAAACCGAUAAUAGUGACUAAAUCACAAGAGACACUUACAGAUUUUGGAUCAUAAGUUAAUGCUGAUAUUGAUAUUGAUGUUUCUUCAACUAUGGGUAUUUUUGGCACUGUGUACUUUCAGGAAAUAAUCUCUCUUACAACCCAUCUUAUUUCUUUACUAACGAGCAUUUAACAUCAAUAAAGACAUCACAGGAAAAUCUUGAACAUUUACUGUGCAAUGUCAUUUCCACCAAAUUUCAAAUGAUAUAUUGUGUUUAUCAGCAUUUUAUUACUGGAAUAAAAUGGCUAUUUUCAUAGUUUGAAUUUUAUGUAUGUAAAUACAUUCAAAAAAUAUAUUUUGAUACUUUAUACAUUAUUUUGCAUAUAUAAAACAAAAAUUUGUGAAUUCUCCUGUUAAGCAUUUAUAUGCAUUUUUGAAAAACACUUUUAUAUAUAUAUAUAUAAAAAAAAAAACUUUUAUUAAUAUUCACUGUUUAAAUCACAUUUACUUGCCAAAUGUCUCAAACCAACUAAUGACUCUUAAUCUUUAACCAACUGAGUUGAAAUUCUUGAGGAUUUUUUCUUUGGAACAGCUGCUAUAUCAUCUACUAAAACAUCAUUCAGACAAACGAACAAAGACACUCGCUGUAACAGUCUGCAGUCGCUCUGGAUAAAGACGUCUGUUAAAUGUCCAUUUACUUCCUCUGCAGCUCUGCAGACAAACCAAUAGAGUUUUACAGGAAAUAAUUCAAUUCAAGCUGAUGUUGUGACUUUAACCAGCAGUGAAGAUCAGAUGUUCUCAUCUGGAGAUUAAACUGCAAAUAACAAUCAAACUGACAUAUGAAACUUACAAAUAUAUUGCUU